AAACAUCUAAGUAGGGCGAGGAAGAGAAAUCAACCGAGAUUCCGUAAGUAGUGGCGAGCGAACGCGGAAGAGGCCAAACCGAGAGAAGAAAUUCUUUCGGGGUUCGGACUGCAUUUAGUAUUCUUGAUCUUUAGUCGAACAGUCUGGGAAGGCUGACGAGAGAGUGUGAUAGUCACGUAGACGAAAAGGAGAAAGAGCGAGCAGUAUCCAGAGUACCGCGGGGCACGUGAAAUCCCGUGGGAAGAUGGGGGGACCACCCUCCAAGCCUAAAUACUACCCAAUGACCGAUAGCGUAAAGUACUGUGAAGGAACGGUGAAAAGAACCCCGGGAGGGGAGUGAAAAGAACCUGAAACUCUGUGCUUACAAGCACAUAGAGCACGUCAAUGUGUGAUAUGGUACCUUUUGUAGAAUGGUCCGGCGAGUUAUGGUAUGCAGCGUGGUUAAGGACUUCAGGUCUGAAGCCGAAGCGAGAGCGAGUCUGACAAGGGCGAAAAGUUGUAUGCCAUAGACCCGAAACCGGGUGACCUAGCCAUGUCCAGGCUGAAGUGGAGGUAAAACUCCAUGGAGGGCCGAACCGACCUCCGUUGAAAAGGCGGCGGAUGAGAUGUGGCUAGCGGAGAAAUUCCAAUCGAACCCGGAUAUAGCUGGUUCUCCCCGAAAUAGCUUUAGGGCUAGCGUUGUAUUAGAUUACCGGAGGUAAAGCACUGAAUGGGCUAGGGGCUGAGAAGUUACUGAACCCUAUCAAACUAAGAAUGCCGGAUAAUUGAUGUACAGCAGUCAGACUAUGUGAGAUAAGUCUCAUAGUCAAAAGGGAAACAGCCCAGACCCACAGCUAAGGUCCCAAAAUGGAUUUAAGUGGAAAAGGAUGUGGAAUUGCACAGACAACCAGGAUGUUGGCUUAGAAGCAGCCACUCAUUAAAAGAGUGCGUAAUAGCUCACUGGUCGAGUGACUCUGCGCCGAAAAUUCAACGGGGCUAAAAUUCAUACCGAAGCUUGGGCUUGACAGAAAUGUCAGGGGUAGGGGAGCGUCGUAUACGAGGUGAAGUCAUAGCGGAAGCGGUGGUGGAUUGUAUACGAGUGAGAAUGCCGGAAUGAGUAGCGAGAAUUAUGUGAGAAUCAUAAUGGCCGAAAGUCUAAGGUUUCCUGAGGAAGGUUCGUCCUCUCAGGGUUAGCCGGGAGCUAAGGUGAGGCGGAAACGCGUAGCCGAUGCACAUACGGUAGAAAUUCCGUAGCCUCCGAAGAUUUAAGCACAGGGACACUUUUGAAGGGCUGAGCCGGGCGUUGGUUGCCCCGGUCGAAAGGGACACGAUUGAGUGGAAGUCAGUUUGGAAAGAGGCGAGAAAAGCUGUGUGUAUAUGAAAGGAGCCCGUACCGCAAACCGACACAGGUAGACAGGAAGAAGAUUCUAAGGCCAGCGGGAGAAGGGUUGUUAAGGAACUCGGCAAGUUGACCCCGUAACUUCGGGAGAAGGGGUGCUUACGAAGGUAAGCCGCAGAGAAUAGGCCCAAGCGACUGUUUAGCAAAAACACAGCUCUAUGCUAAAUCGAAAGAUGACGUAUAUGGGGUGACACCUGCCCGGUGCUGGAAGGUUAAGAGGAGAUGUGAGAGCAUUGAAUUGAAGCCCCAGUAAACGGCGGCCGUAACUAUAACGGUCCUAAGGUAGCGAAAUUCCUUGUCAGGUAAGUUCUGACCCGCACGAAUGGUGUAACGAUUUGGGCACUGUCUCAACAACCCACCCGGCGAAAUUGUAGUACCGGUGAAGAUGCCGGUUACCCGCGACUAGACGGAAAGACCCCAUGGAGCUUCACUGCAGCUUAAUAUUGGAUUUCGGUAUUUCAUGUACAGGAUAGGUGGGAGACUGGGAAAUACAGGCGUCAGCUUGUAUGGAGUCAUUGUUGGGAUACCACUCUUGAGGUGCUGGAAUUCUAACCUGUGGCCUUGAAUCAGGUCAGGGGACAUUGUUAGGCGGGCAGUUUGACUGGGGCGGUCGCCUCCUAAAAGGUAACGGAGGCGCUCAAAGGUUCGCUCAGCAUGGACGGAAACCAUGCCAAAGAGUGUAAACGCAUAAGCGAGCCUAACUGCGAGACUGACGGGUCGAGCAGUAACGAAAGUUGGAGUUAGUGAUCCGGCGGUAUGUGAGUGGAAAUGCCGUCGCUCAACGGAUAAAAGCUACCCUGGGGAUAACAGGCUGAUCUCCCCCAAGAGUCCACAUCGACG
This 2218-nucleotide ribosomal RNA is filed under the name human gut metagenome. RNAcentral describes it as "bacterial LSU rRNA". It matches the Rfam family "Bacterial large subunit ribosomal RNA", at positions 196 to 2510 of the family's 2925-position model. The record is from RNAcentral.